CAAUAGCGUAUAUUAAAGUUGUUGCAGUUAAAAAGCUCGUAGUUGGGUUUCGGGGUGGCCUGGCUGGUCCGCCGCAAGGUGAGUACUGGUCAGCCGCCCUUCCUCUCGAAAGCCCCGACUGCUCUUUACUGCAGUGGUCGGGUAGUUCGGGACGUUUACUUUGAAAAAAUUAGAGUGUUCAAGGCAGGCUAUCGCCUGAAUACAUUAGCAUGGAAUAAUGGAAGAGGACCUCGGUCCUAUUUUGUUGGUUUCUAGGGCCGAAGUAAUGAUUAAGAGGGACAGUUGGGGGCAUUCGUAUUUAAUUGUCAGAGGUGAAAUUCUUGGAUUUAUGAAAGACGAACUAGUGCGAAAGCAUUUGCCAAGGAUGUUUUCAUUAA
This 377-nucleotide ribosomal RNA is filed under the name uncultured eukaryote. RNAcentral describes it as "partial 18S ribosomal RNA". It matches the Rfam family "Eukaryotic small subunit ribosomal RNA", at positions 592 to 976 of the family's 1831-position model. The record is from RNAcentral.